This 253-nucleotide ribosomal RNA is filed under the name uncultured bacterium. Its description in RNAcentral is "partial 16S ribosomal RNA". It matches the Rfam family "Bacterial small subunit ribosomal RNA", at positions 524 to 776 of the family's 1533-position model. The record is from RNAcentral.
UACGAAGGGGGCUAGCGUUGUUCGGAAUUACUGGGCGUAAAGGGCGCGUAGGCGGCGACUCAAGUCAGGCGUGAAAGCCCCGGGCUCAACCUGGGAAUUGCGCUUGAUACUGAAUUGCUUGAGUUCGGGAGAGGAGAGUGGAAUUCCCAGUGUAGAGGUGAAAUUCGUAGAUAUUGGGAAGAACACCGGUGGCGAAGGCGGCUCUCUGGACCGAUACUGACGCUGAGGCGCGAAAGCGUGGGGAGCAAACAGG